Molecule: ribosomal RNA, 391 nt
Filed under: uncultured eukaryote
Lineage: Eukaryota
Description: SSU rRNA
Rfam family: Eukaryotic small subunit ribosomal RNA
Source: RNAcentral
AGCUCCAAUAGCGUAUAUUAAAGUUGUUGCAGUUAAAAAGCUCGUAGUUGGAUUUCUGAAUCGAAUGUCCGGUCCGCUUGCUAAGCAAGUGCGUACUAUGUGAUAUUUGUUUCAUUUUUUGUGAGGAAAUUUAUCUGUCAUUAAGUUGAUGGGUUUAUGGACUUGCAUCGUUUACUGUGAAAAAAUUAGAGUGUUUAAAGCAGGCGUUUGCCUUGAAUACAUUAGCAUGGAAUAAUAAGAUAUGACUUUGGUGGUCUAUUUUGUUGGUUUGCACACCAGAGUAAUGAUUAAUAGGGACAGUUGGGGGUAUUCAUAUUUCAGCGUCAGAGGUGAAAUUCUUAGAUCGCUGAAAGAUGAGCUUAGGCGAAAGCAUUUACCAAGGAUGUUUUCA